Long non-coding RNA from Acanthaster planci (crown-of-thorns starfish), 632 nucleotides. The record is from RefSeq and is a predicted model, not a curated record. NCBI's taxonomy places the organism in Eukaryota, Metazoa, Echinodermata, Asteroidea, Valvatida, Acanthasteridae.
CACUCAGCGCACGCGCACUAAAUUUAAAAGGCGAAGGCAACACGAGGAUCCUUCUCAUGACUGAGCUUGACGAGGACAACUGCCCACAUGGAUGCUUGGAGAAGGGUACUCUAUUGGUUAUGAACAAGAGUAGUUGGACAUAUCAAAAAGGCUGAUCAUGAGGACAACUGCCUGCGUGGAUAUCUAUAGAAGUGGUGCCCUGCCCAUCUGGAACGAGUUCUUGGACUCGUCAAAAGGUUGACGAAACCGACUUUGUAGAUGCCGGUAGAAGGGAUGCCCUCUCCACUUCGAACGAGACUUUUUGGACUUGUCAAAAAGGAACUCCCCAAAGAGUGCCUAACAGCAGUCUACCCUCAUCAGAAGUCCAGGAAUCAGACGAGGAAUUGCUGCUGCGGCUUAUUUGGUGGUGCUUUUGAAAAUUAACCAACAUCCAAAUGGAUCCUUGCAUCUACAUGUACAUGUAUGAAGUGACAUGAAACAUUCUUGAAACAAGAAGAAAACGACUUGAUAACAACUCACCCCUUUCUGACCUUCCUGAAUUCAUUGCUCCACCGGUCACAAGUACAACCAAUGUAACAUUGAUGCAGCCCACCAACCUGCAUUGUGUUCCCUAAUGGCCACCAGCAGCGAAG